UUGAUUGUUGUAUUCUACAUAUAAAUUCAUUAGUUGAUAUUUUUAAGGUAAAAAAACUUUCGUUACACUUAACCCUUCUAUAAAUUGCUAAUACGGUAGUCAAUUAAGAAAUGGUGCCGUUUUGAGUUGUGGUGGUCCGGAACAAAAGUUGAGAAAAGGAAAAACGAAGGGUAGGUCGUGUUGGCGUAAAAAGAGAACACCGUUGAAUUUAACAUUUGCCCUUAAAUAAAAUCCCUAGAAAUUAAUUCGAGUUUUUGGCUUUACUUAUAUCAUCAUCAGGAUUUUGGAAAAGAAGAAACCUUGUUGAGAUGAAAGAGCUUGUUUUUUCUUUUCUUUCUUCUCUUUCUCCGUAAUGAGAUUUUAAUUCCUCUUGUGGGUUCUUUUUUUAUUUUCCCAAGAAAACCUUUGAGUUUCUUCUUCUUCCAAUCUCUUUCUUCACUGUUGUUUUCUUCUGUUCAUAUAGUUGUUAGAUCUUAUGUCUUUUCAAGUCCGAAUCUUAAAAAACUUGAUCUCUCCUUUCAUUGAUUUAUACUCAUCCACGAAAAUUCCAUCUCUCGAGACGAUAUUAUUAUUGUUCGAUCUUCUCCGUAGCUUUGUGACGACAGAAUCUAGGGUUUCUUUUUUUUUUCUUUGUUUCUCUUUUUUUUGCUUUCUCUUUCUUCUUGUAUGUUUGUUUUAAGUCUUUGGUUCAUAAAUUUUCCUGCUACAAAACAACAACUGUACAUCACCAUCAUUAAGAAACCCAUCUGCCUCUUUCUCUAUCUCAUAAAUAUUCUCACCGUUCGCUUCUCUCUUCUAAAUGUUCUCUCUGUAGCUUCUCUCUCUCUCUCUCUCUCUCUCUCUCUCUCUCUCUCUCUUUCUCUCUUUCUUUCUCAAGAAAAACCCCUUUUUCCAUAUUACAGUCGGACAGAAAGCAAAUGAGUGAGUGUUUUUUUUUUUUGGAUCUUUAACCUUUUUGGUCAUGUGGGUUUUGACAAAAGAGUCUCUUACAGAGAUCUUUGGCAUUCUGUCCACCUCCUCUCUCUAUAUAAUAUGUUUGUGUAGUAAGCGUAAGUAUCUUCCUUGUGUUUUGUGGGAGGAGGUGGGCAUACUGCCAAUAGAGAUCUGUUAGGGUUUCUUUGUAAAACCCCUCAUGAUGUAUUCAAAGAUCACUCGGAUGAAUGUUAAGAUCUAAGGUUUGAAGAGAAGUUGGUAUUAACUCGAAUCUACUCAAACCUCUUAUUCAUACGUGAUCAUUUACUUAUUCUUAUUUAAGUCAAUUUCACUUGAUAAUUCUAUCUCUUUCGAUUUAAUAUAUCUCUCGGAGUUUGAUGCUUUCUUUGGUUGAGACUGUGAUCCGAAGUUUGCAACGGCGUUGACAAAUGUGAGGUUUAGAAAUAGUGGUGGCGUUUGAGACGUUUACAUCAUCUAGGAAAGGUAAACUAUUCAUAAAGGAAGAGGACCCAUUACUCCCAAUAAAGCUACAGGUAGAUUGAAAUCAUAGGAGAAUAUGGUAAUGAAAAGGAGAAUUUUACUCUUCCUUUUUAUGUUCUUUGAAGCCCACACAAUGUUAUGAUGAUGUCUUCUUUUCCUUAA
Capsella rubella is the source of this 1575-nucleotide long non-coding RNA. RefSeq lists it as uncharacterized. Lineage: Eukaryota; Viridiplantae; Streptophyta; Magnoliopsida; Brassicales; Brassicaceae. The record is from RefSeq and is a predicted model, not a curated record. The transcript is spliced from 2 exons.